Long non-coding RNA from Dendronephthya gigantea, 288 nucleotides. RefSeq lists it as uncharacterized. The transcript is spliced from 3 exons. NCBI's taxonomy places the organism in Eukaryota, Metazoa, Cnidaria, Anthozoa, Malacalcyonacea, Nephtheidae. The record is from RefSeq and is a predicted model, not a curated record.
AAUUAUCACGCAGAGGCCACAGAAAGAGGGAAACAGUAGCUUUCAGUUUUAUUCACAAGACCUGAAGGCGACUGGCUGGCAGUGGAAAACGAACCUAAAAGAAAACAAUAAUGAGUGUUCGAGUGUCUUCUUUUCUCUUGCUAUUGGUGGUUGCACUUGCUACAGCGAGAACGUGGGGAAAGUCGUUCGAGUUUAACGACCGAGCCGAUAUAUCACGUUGUGAACGCGAAGGUGAUGAUGAGUGCAAGUGUGAAAAGUACUACGAAGGAAUUGAAGGACAGGGUUGCU